GAUGAAGAACGCAGCGAAAUGCGAUACUUGGUGUGAAUUGCAGAAUUCAGUGAAUCAUCGAAUCUUUGAACGCACAUUGCGCCCCCUGGUAUUCCGGGGGGCAUGCCUGUUCGAGCGUCAUUUCACCACUCAAGCCUCGCUUGGUAUUGGGCAACGCGGUCCGCCGCGUGCCUCAAAUCGACCGGCUGGGUCUUCUGUCCCCUAAGCGUUGUGGAAACUAUUCGCUAAAGGGUGUUCGGGAGGCUACGCCGUAAAACAACCCCAUUUCUAAGGUUGACCUCGGAUCAGGUAGGGAUACCCGCUGAACUUAAGCAUAUCAAUAAGCGGAGA
This 330-nucleotide unclassified non-coding RNA is filed under the name soil metagenome. RNAcentral describes it as "partial contains 5.8S ribosomal RNA, internal transcribed spacer 2, and large subunit ribosomal RNA". The stretch from base 1 to 120 matches the Rfam family "5.8S ribosomal RNA", at positions 35 to 154 of the family's 154-position model. The record is from RNAcentral.